RNAcentral lists this ribosomal RNA (263 nucleotides) under uncultured archaeon. RNAcentral describes it as "partial 16S ribosomal RNA". It matches the Rfam family "Archaeal small subunit ribosomal RNA", at positions 720 to 982 of the family's 1478-position model. The record is from RNAcentral.
CACUGACAUUAGAUACCCGUGUAGUCCAGGGUGUAAACGCUGCAGACUUGGUGUUGGAGGUCCCGUUUGGGGGCAUUCAGUGCCGGAGAGAAGUUGUUAAGUCUGCUACGUUGGGAGUACGUCCGCAAGGAUGAAACUUAAAGGAAUUGGCGGGGGAGCACCGCAACGGGAGGAGCGUGCGGUUUAAUUGGAUUCAACACCGUAAACUCACCAGGGAAGACUGUUACAUGAAGGCCGAGAUGAAGACUCUGCUAGAUUUUCAG